ACAAGCGGUGGAGCAUGUGGUUUAAUUCGAUGCAACGCGAAGAACCUUACCUGGUCUUGACAUCCCGGAGACCCUUAGGAAACUAGGGGGUGCUUCCAUCUGGAAGAAUCUGGAGACAGGUGCUGCAUGGCUGUCGUCAGCUCGUGUCGUGAGAUGUUGGGUUAAGUCCCGCAACGAGCGCAACCCUUGCCUUUAGUUGCCAGCAGUUCGGCUGGGCACUCUAAAGGGACUGCCGGUGUUAAACCGGAGGAAGGUGGGGAUGACGUCAAGUCCUCAUGGCCUUUAUGACCAGGGCUACACACGUACUACAAUGGCCGAUACAAAGGGCAGCGACACUGCGAGGUGAAGCCAAUCCCGUAAAAUCGGUCUCAGUCCGGAUUGGAGUCUGCAACUCGACUCCAUGAAGUUGGAAUCGCUAGUAAUCGUGGAUCAGCAUGCCACGGUGAAUACGUUCCCGGGCCUU
RNAcentral lists this ribosomal RNA (463 nucleotides) under uncultured Desulfobulbus sp. RNAcentral describes it as "bacterial SSU rRNA". It matches the Rfam family "Bacterial small subunit ribosomal RNA", at positions 925 to 1382 of the family's 1533-position model. Lineage: Bacteria; Pseudomonadati; Thermodesulfobacteriota; Desulfobulbia; Desulfobulbales; Desulfobulbaceae. The record is from RNAcentral.